This is a long non-coding RNA of Psammomys obesus (fat sand rat), 200 nucleotides long. RefSeq lists it as uncharacterized. The record is from RefSeq and is a predicted model, not a curated record. The transcript is spliced from 3 exons. NCBI's taxonomy places the organism in Eukaryota, Metazoa, Chordata, Mammalia, Rodentia, Muridae.
UGUGGCUCCACUUUAGCUACUGCCAGUGACCUCAAUCCAGGUUCCGUGCCUGGAUCAGCAGCUCUCUCUCUAUGAAGUCUGGAUUUGCUUUGUCAGCUGUCCUUUGCUGGGGUCACUUGUGUCUGGAUAUGCAAAUGAGAAUGAAGGAAAAGAGGACAGUAAAGACAAGAUGAAGGAAUGGGAAGAGAAGGAAUGUAGAU